Molecule: ribosomal RNA, 253 nt
Filed under: uncultured bacterium
Lineage: Bacteria
Description: partial 16S ribosomal RNA
Rfam family: Bacterial small subunit ribosomal RNA
Source: RNAcentral
UACGGAGGGGGCUAGCGUUAUUCGGAAUUACUGGGCGUAAAGCGUUCGUAGGCGGCUUUGUAAGUCAGAGGUGAAAGCCCACGACUCAAUCGUGGAACUGCCUUUGAGACUGCUUCGCUUGAAGAUGGGAGAGGUUAGUGGAAUCCCGAGUGUAGAGGUGAAAUGCGUAGAUAUUCGGAAGAACACCAGUGGCGAAGGCGGCAAACUGGACCAUGCUUGACGCUGAGGAACGAAAGCGUGGGGAGCAAACAGG